RNAcentral lists this transfer RNA (74 nucleotides) under Candidatus Omnitrophota bacterium. Its description in RNAcentral is "tRNA-Arg". It matches the Rfam family "tRNA". Rfam says of the family: Transfer RNA (tRNA) molecules are approximately 80 nucleotides in length. Their secondary structure includes four short double-helical elements and three loops (D, anti-codon, and T loops). Further hydrogen bonds mediate the characteristic L-shaped molecular structure. tRNAs have two regions of fundamental functional importance: the anti-codon, which is responsible for specific mRNA codon recognition, and the 3' end, to which the tRNAs corresponding amino acid is attached (by aminoacyl-tRNA synthetases). tRNAs cope with the degeneracy of the genetic code in two manners: having more than one tRNA (with a specific anti-codon) for a particular amino acid; and 'wobble' base-pairing, i.e. permitting non-standard base-pairing at the 3rd anti-codon position. Lineage: Bacteria; Pseudomonadati; Candidatus Omnitrophota. The record is from RNAcentral.
GCGCCUGUAGCUCAACUGGAUAGAGCGCCAGCCUUCGGAGCUGGGCGUUGCAGGUUCGACUCCUGCCAGGCGCA